UACGUAGGGUGCGAGCGUUGUCCGGAAUUAUUGGGCGUAAAGAGCUUGUAGGCGGUUUGUCGCGUCUGCUGUGAAAACUGGAGGCUCAACCUCCAGCCUGCAGCGGGUACGGGCAAACUAGAGUGCGGUAGGGGAGAUUGGAAUUCCUGGUGUAGCGGUGGAAUGCGCAGAUAUCAGGAGGAACACCGAUGGCGAAGGCAGAUCUCUGGGCCGUAACUGACGCUGAGGAGCGAAAGCAUGGGGAGCGAACAGG
RNAcentral lists this ribosomal RNA (253 nucleotides) under uncultured bacterium. RNAcentral's name for it is "partial 16S ribosomal RNA". It matches the Rfam family "Bacterial small subunit ribosomal RNA", at positions 524 to 776 of the family's 1533-position model. The record is from RNAcentral.